CUCUUAUCAAGAGAGGCUGAGGGACAGGCCCUGUGAAGCCCGGCAACCCGUUCUAUGUUUAUAGAAAAAGGUGCUAAAUCCUGCAAAACAGUUUCGUUUUGAAAGAUGAGAG
Molecule: non-coding RNA, 112 nt
Filed under: Virgibacillus sp. SK37
Lineage: Bacteria; Bacillati; Bacillota; Bacilli; Caryophanales; Bacillaceae
Also listed under: 1 other name
Description: SAM riboswitch aptamer (S box leader)
Rfam family: SAM riboswitch aptamer (S box leader)
About the family: The SAM riboswitch is found upstream of a number of genes which code for proteins involved in methionine or cysteine biosynthesis in Gram-positive bacteria. The SAM riboswitch acts at the level of transcription termination control.
Source: Rfam by way of RNAcentral